RNAcentral lists this transfer RNA (77 nucleotides) under Trichonephila inaurata madagascariensis. RNAcentral's name for it is "tRNA-Arg". It matches the Rfam family "tRNA". Rfam says of the family: Transfer RNA (tRNA) molecules are approximately 80 nucleotides in length. Their secondary structure includes four short double-helical elements and three loops (D, anti-codon, and T loops). Lineage: Eukaryota; Metazoa; Arthropoda; Arachnida; Araneae; Nephilidae. The record is from RNAcentral.
GGCCCAGUAGCGCAAUCGAUAGCGCGUUGAACUUCUGAUACAAACGUCGUGGGUUCGAAUCCUACCUGAGAUGACCU